CUGUAAGCCUGCGAAGGUGGCCUGUGAGGGUUGCUGGAGGUAUCAGAAGUGCGAAUGCUGACAUAAGUAACGAUAAAGCGGGUGAAAAGCCCGCUCGCCGGAAGACCAAGGGUUCCUGUCCAACGUUAAUCGGGGCAGGGUGAGUCGACCCCUAAGGCGAGGCCGAAAGGCGUAGUCGAUGGGAAACGGGUUAAUAUUCCCGUACUUGGUGUUACUGCGAAGGGGGGACGGAGAAGGCUAUGUUGGCCGGGCGACGGUUGUCCCGGUUUAAGCGUGUAGGUGUGUGUUCCAGGUAAAUCCGGUUCACUUUAACACUGAGGCGUGAUGACGAGGCACUACGGUGCUGAAGCAACAAAUGCCCUGCUUCCAGGAAAAGCCUCUAAGCAUCAGGUAACAUCAAAUCGUACCCCAAACCGACACAGGUGGUCAGGUAGAGAAUACCAAGGCGCUUGAGAGAACUCGGGUGAAGGAACUAGGCAAAAUGGUGCCGUAACUUCGGGAGAAGGCACGCUGACACGUAGGUGAAGUGAUUUACUCAUGGAGCUGAAGUCAGUCGAAGAUACCAGCUGGCUGCAACUGUUUAUUAAAAACACAGCACUGUGCAAACACGAAAGUGGACGUAUACGGUGUGACGCCUGCCCGGUGCCGGAAGGUUAAUUGAUGGGGUCAGCGCAAGCGAAGCUCCUGAUCGAAGCCCCGGUAAACGGCGGCCGUAACUAUAACGGUCCUAAGGUAGCGAAAUUCCUUGUCGGGUAAGUUCCGACCUGCACGAAUGGCGUAAUGAUGGCCAGGCUGUCUCCACCCGAGACUCAGUGAAAUUGAACUCGCUGUGAAGAUGCAGUGUACCCGCGGCAAGACGGAAAGACCCCGUGAACCUUUACUAUAGCUUGACACUGAACAUUGAGCCUUGAUGUGUAGGAUAGGUGGGAGGCUUUGAAGUGUGGACGCCAGUCUGCAUGGAGCCGGCCUUGAAAUACCACCCUUUAAUGUUUGAUGUUCUAACGUGGACCCGUGAUCCGGGUUGCGGACAGUGUCUGGUGGGUAGUUUGACUGGGGCGGUCUCCUCCUAAAGAGUAACGGAGGAGCACGAAGGUUGGCUAAUCCUGGUCGGACAUCAGGAGGUUAGUGCAAUGGCAUAAGCCAGCUUGACUGCGAGCGUGACGGCGCGAGCAGGUGCGAAAGCAGGUCAUAGUGAUCCGGUGGUUCUGAAUGGAAGGGCCAUCGCUCAACGGAUAAAAGGUACUCCGGGGAUAACAGGCUGAUACCGCCCAAGAGUUCAUAUCGACGGCGGUGUUUGGCACCUCGAUGUCGGCUCAUCACAUCCUGGGGCUGAAGUAGGUCCCAAGGGUAUGGCUGUUCGCCAUUUAAAGUGGUACGCGAGCUGGGUUUAGAACGUCGUGAGACAGUUCGGUCCCUAUCUGCCGUGGGCGCUGGAGAACUGAGGGGGGCUGCUCCUAGUACGAGAGGACCGGAGUGGACGCAUCACUGGUGUUCGGGUUGUCAUGCCAAUGGCACUGCCCGGUAGCUAAAUGCGGAAGAGAUAAGUGCUGAAAGCAUCUAAGCACGAAACUUGCCCCGAGAUGAGUUCUCCCUGAGACUUAGAGUCUCCUGAAGGAACGUUGAAGACGACGACGUUGAUAGGCCGGGUGUGUAAGCGCAGCGAUGCGUUGAGCUAACCGGUACUAAUGAACCGUGAGGCUUAACCUUACAACGCCGAAG
Molecule: ribosomal RNA, 1719 nt
Filed under: Salmonella enterica subsp. enterica
Lineage: Bacteria; Pseudomonadati; Pseudomonadota; Gammaproteobacteria; Enterobacterales; Enterobacteriaceae
Description: partial 23S ribosomal RNA
Rfam family: Bacterial large subunit ribosomal RNA
Source: RNAcentral